This 448-nucleotide ribosomal RNA is filed under the name uncultured eukaryote. Its description in RNAcentral is "bacterial SSU rRNA". It matches the Rfam family "Eukaryotic small subunit ribosomal RNA", at positions 729 to 1105 of the family's 1831-position model. The record is from RNAcentral.
GGGCCGCCCCGCGAGGGACGGCGCCGCCCCGGGGCUCGUGAUAUCUUAUCUCGCCGCCCGUCGCGAGGCGGACGGAGGGAUGGAUGAGGUUACCUGGAAAAAUCGGGGCGAUCUAGGCGGGCGAACCUCGCCAACGAACGAUCGGACAUGGGGAUAACGGAAGAGGGCGUCGGCUCGACUUCGUCGGUUCCUCGGGCCGAGGCACGUACGGUGAAUAGGGACGGUCGGGGCCGCCCGUACCGGGUCGUGAGAGGUGAAAUUCUAGGAUCGACCCGAGACGAACUGCCGCGAAAGCAUUCGGCAAGGACGCUUUCAUUAAUCAAGAACGAAAGUCGGGGGAUCGAAGACGAUCAGAUACCGUCGUAGUCCCGACCGUAAACGAUGCCGACCGAGGGCCCGGAGGAGUUACGUACGACCCUCCGGGCCCUCCCGCGAGAAAUCAGGAGUA